AAAUUCGCCUUCAUGAAGCCGGAAUUGCUAGUAAUGGCAGGUCAGCAUACUGCCGUGAAUACGUUCCCGGGCCUUGUACACACCGCCCGUCACACCAUGAGAGUUGGGAAUACCCGAAGCCUGUGAGCUAACUUAUAAGAGGCAGCAGUCGAAGGUAGAAUCAAUGAUUGGGGUGAAGUCGUAACAAGGUAUC
Molecule: ribosomal RNA, 193 nt
Filed under: uncultured bacterium
Lineage: Bacteria
Description: partial 16S ribosomal RNA
Rfam family: Bacterial small subunit ribosomal RNA
Source: RNAcentral